UGCCGCUGUGGUGAAAUUGGCAGACACGAGGGACUUAAAAUCCCUUUCUGGAGACAGAGUACGGGUUCGACCCCCGUCGGCGGCAU
Molecule: transfer RNA, 86 nt
Filed under: Faecalibacterium taiwanense
Lineage: Bacteria; Bacillati; Bacillota; Clostridia; Eubacteriales; Oscillospiraceae
Also listed under: 4 other names
Description: tRNA-Leu
Rfam family: tRNA
About the family: Transfer RNA (tRNA) molecules are approximately 80 nucleotides in length. Their secondary structure includes four short double-helical elements and three loops (D, anti-codon, and T loops). Further hydrogen bonds mediate the characteristic L-shaped molecular structure. tRNAs have two regions of fundamental functional importance: the anti-codon, which is responsible for specific mRNA codon recognition, and the 3' end, to which the tRNAs corresponding amino acid is attached (by aminoacyl-tRNA synthetases). tRNAs cope with the degeneracy of the genetic code in two manners: having more than one tRNA (with a specific anti-codon) for a particular amino acid; and 'wobble' base-pairing, i.e. permitting non-standard base-pairing at the 3rd anti-codon position.
Source: RNAcentral